UACGUAGGUGGCAAGCGUUGUCCGGAUUUACUGGGCGUAAAGAGCGCGCAGGCGGUCGUUCAAGUCGCGUGUGAAAGCCCCCGGCUCAACUGGGGAGGGUCACGCGAUACUGAUCGACUCGAAGGCAGGAGAGGGUAGUGGAAUUCCCGGUGUAGUGGUGAAAUGCGUAGAUAUCUGGAGGAACACCGGUGGCGAAGGCGGCAUCCUGGACCGAGAUUGACGCUGAGGCGCGAAAGCCAGGGGAGCAAACGGG
RNAcentral lists this ribosomal RNA (253 nucleotides) under uncultured bacterium. RNAcentral's name for it is "partial 16S ribosomal RNA". It matches the Rfam family "Bacterial small subunit ribosomal RNA", at positions 524 to 776 of the family's 1533-position model. The record is from RNAcentral.